Molecule: ribosomal RNA, 497 nt
Filed under: uncultured bacterium
Lineage: Bacteria
Description: partial 16S ribosomal RNA
Rfam family: Bacterial small subunit ribosomal RNA
Source: RNAcentral
GAUGAACGCUGGCGGCGUGCCUAAUACAUGCAAGUCGAGCGAGCAGAUAAGGAGCUUGCUCCUUUGACGUUAGCGGCGGACGGGUGAGUAACACGUGGGUAACCUACCUAUAAGACUGGAAUAACUCCGGGAAACCGGGGCUAAUGCAGGAUAACAUGUUGAACCGCAUGGUUCUACAGUGAAAGGCGGCUUUGCUGUCACUUAUAGAUGGACCCGCGCCGUAUUAGCUAGUUGGUGAGGUAACGGCUCACCAAGGCAACGAUACGUAGCCGACCUGAGAGGGUGAUCGGCCACACUGGAACUGAGACACGGUCCAGACUCCUACGGGAGGCAGCAGUAGGGAAUCUUCCGCAAUGGGCGAAAGCCUGACGGAGCAACGCCGCGUGAGUGAUGAAGGUCUUCGGAUCGUAAAACUCUGUUAUUAGGGAAGAACAAAUGCGUAAGUAACUGUGCGCGUCUUGACGGUACCUAAUCAGAAAGCCACGGCUAACUACGUG